RNAcentral lists this small RNA (28 nucleotides) under Bombyx mori (domestic silkworm). RNAcentral's name for it is "ovarian small RNA-11386". The record is from RNAcentral. Lineage: Eukaryota; Metazoa; Arthropoda; Insecta; Lepidoptera; Bombycidae.
ACCUGCGAAGAACACAAGCACGCUGUAA